Molecule: ribosomal RNA, 414 nt
Filed under: uncultured microorganism
Description: bacterial SSU rRNA
Rfam family: Archaeal small subunit ribosomal RNA
Source: RNAcentral
CAGCCGCCGCGGUAAUACCGGCGGCCCGAGUGGCGGUCACUAUUAUUGGGCUUAAAGCGUCCGUAGCCGGGUUGGGAAGUCCUCCGGGAAAUCUGGCCGCUUAACGGUCAGAAUGCCGGAGGAUACUCCCAGCCUAGGGAGCGGGAGAGGCCGAGGGGAUUCCCGGGGUAGGGGGGAAAUCCUAUAAUCCCGGGAGGACCACCUGUGGCGACGGCGCGCGGCUGGAACGCGUCCGACGGUGAGGGACGAAGGCCAGGGGAGCAAACCGGAUUAGAUACCCGGGUAGUCCUGGCUGUAAACGAUGCGGACUUUGUGUCGGACAAGCUAUGAGCUUGUCCGGUGCCGGAGGGAAACCGUUAAGUCCGCCGCCUGGGGAGUACGGCCGCAAGGCUGAAACUUAAAGGAAUUGGCGGG